AGUGAACGCUGGCGGUAGGCCUAACACAUGCAAGUCGAACGGCAGCACAGGAGAGCUUGCUCUCUGGGUGGCGAGUGGCGGACGGGUGAGGAAUACAUCGGAAUCUACUCUGUCGUGGGGGAUAACGUAGGGAAACUUACGCUAAUACCGCAUACGACCUACGGGUGAAAGCAGGGGACCUUCGGGCCUUGCGCGAUUGAAUGAGCCGGUGUCGGAUUAGCUAGUUGGCGGGGUAAAGGCCCACCAAGGCGACGAUCCGUAGCUGGUCGGAGAGGAUGAUCAGCCACACUGGAACUGAGACACGGUCCAGACUCCUACGGGAGGCAGCAGUGGGGAAUAUUGGACAAUGGGCGCAAGCCUGAUCCAGCCAUACCGCGUGGGUGAAGAAGGCCUUCGGGUUGUAAAGCCCUUUUGUUGGGAAAGAAAUCCAGCUGGCUAAUACCCGGUUGGGAUGACGGUACCCAAAGAAUAAGCACCGGCUAACUUCGUGCCAGCAGCCGCAGUAA
Molecule: ribosomal RNA, 506 nt
Filed under: uncultured bacterium
Lineage: Bacteria
Description: partial 16S ribosomal RNA
Rfam family: Bacterial small subunit ribosomal RNA
Source: RNAcentral